UUUUUAUACGACCGCAAAAAAAUUUUUGUGGUCGUAUAUUGGUAUGACGUUGUCGUCGUCGUCGUCGUCGUCGUCGUCGUCGUCGUCUGGCGUCGUCGUCCGAAUACACAUUAGUUUUCGCACUCUAACUUUAGUUUAAGUGAAUGGAUCUCAAUGAAAUUUUACCAUAAGGUUCAAUACCACAAAAGGAAGGUGGAGAUUGAUUUUGGGGGUUAUGGUACCAACAGUAAAGGAAAAAGGGGCCAAAAAUAAGCAUUUUUGUAACUUCCAGACAUAACUUGUGUGUUAGUGUAUGGAUCUCUCUUACAUUGUACCACAAGGUUCCAUAUCACAAAGGGAAUGCUGGGAUUGAUUUUGGGGGUAAUUGCCUCCAAAUUUUAGGAAUUAUGGGCCAAAAAGGGGCAAAAAACAAGCAUUUUUCUAGUUUCAUGACAAUAACUUGUGUGUAAGUGUAUGGAUCUCUCUGACAUUGUACCACAAGGUUCCAUAUCACAAAGGGAAUGCUAGGAUUGAUUUUGGGGGUAAUUGCCUCCAAAUUUUAGGAAUUAGGGGCAAAAAAGGGGCAAAAAACAAGCUUUUUUCUAGUUUCAUGACAAUAACUUGUGUGUAAGUGUAUGGAUCUCUCUGACAUUGUACCACAAGGUUCCAUAUCACAAAGGGAAUGCUAGGAUUGAUUUUGGGGGUAAUUGCCUCCAAAUUUUAGGAAUUAGGGGCAAAAAAGGGGCAAAAAACAAGCUUUUUUCUAGUUUCAUGACAAUAACUUGUGUGUAAGUGUAUGGAUCUCUCUGACAUUGUACCACAAGGUUCCAUAUCACAAAGGAAAUGCUGGGAUUGAUUUUGGGGGUAAUUGCCUCCAAAUUGUAGGAAUUAGGGGCCAAAAAGGGCAAAAAAACAAGCAUUUUUUCUAGUUUCAUGACAAUAACUUGUGUGUAAGUGUAUGGAUCUUUAUGAAAUUGUACUACAAGGUUCCAUAUUACAAAGGGAAAGCUGGAAUUGAGUUUUGGGGUAAUUGCCCAAAAUGUUUAGGAAUAAGGGGCCAAAAAUAAGCAUUUUUCUAGUUUCCAGACAAUAACUUGUGUUCAAGUGUAUGGAUCUCUCUGAAAUUGUACUGCAAGGUACCAUACCACAAAGGGAAGGCUGGGAUUGAUUUUGAUGGUAAUUCCUUCAAAAUUUUAGGAAUUAGGGGCCAUAAAAGGGCAAAAAAAUAAGCAUUUUUCUAGUUUCAGGACAAUAACUUGUGUGUAGUGUAUGGAUCUUUAUGAAAUUGUACUGCAAGGUUCCAUAUCACAAAGGGAAAGCUGGGUUUGAGUUUGGGGGUAAUUGCCCUAAACGUUUAGGAAUUUGGGGUCAAAAAGGGGCCAAAAAACAAGCAUUUUUCUAGUUUCCAGACAAUAACUUGUGUUCAAGUGUAUGGAUCUCUCUGACAUUGUACCACAAGGUUCCAUAUCACAAAGGGAAUGCUGGGAUUGAUUUUGGGGGUAAUUGCCUCCAAAUUUUAGGAAUUAGGGGCAAAAAAGGGGCAAAAAACAAGCAUUUUUCUAGUUUCAUGACAAUAACUUGUGUGUAAGUGUAUGGAUCUCUCUGACAUUGUACCACAAGGUUCCAUAUCACAAAGGGAAUGCUAGGAUUGAUUUUGGGGGUAAUUGCCUCCAAAUUUUAGGAAUUAGGGGCAAAAAAGGGGCAAAAAACAAGCUUUUUUUCUAGUUUCAUGACAAUAACUUGUGUGUAAGUGUAUGGAUCUCUCUGACAUUGUACCACAAGGUUCCAUAUCACAAAGGAAAUGCUGGGAUUGAUUUUGGGGGUAAUUGCCUCCAAAUUGUAGGAAUUAGGGGCCAAAAAGGGCCAAAAAACAAGCAUUUUUUCUAGUUUCAUGACAAUAACUUGUGUGUAAGUGUAUGGAUCUUUAUGAAAUUGUACUACAAGGUUCCAUAUUACAAAGGGAAAGCUGGAAUUGAGUUUUGGGGUAAUUGCCCAAAAUGUUUAGGAAUAAGGGGCCAAAAAGGGGCCAAAAAUAAGCAUUUUUCUAGUUUCCAGACAAUAACUUGUGUUCAAGUGUAUGGAUCUCUCUGAAAUUGUACUGCAAGGUACCAUACCACAAAGGGAAGGCUGGGAUUGAUUUUGAUGGUAAUUCCUUCAAAAUUUUAGGAAUUAGGGGCCAUAAAAGGGCAAAAAAAUAAGCAUUUUUCUAGUUUCAGGACAAUAACUUGUGUGUAGUGUAUGGAUCUUUAUGAAAUUGUACUGCAAGGUUCCAUAUCACAAAGGGAAAGCUGGGUUUGAGUUUGGGGGUAAUUGCCCUAAACGUUUAGGAAUUUGGGGUCAAAAAGGGGCCAAAAAACAAGCAUUUUUCUAGUUUCCAGACAAUAACUUGUGUUCAAGUGUAUGGAUCUCUCUGAAAUUGUACUGCAAGGUACCAUACCACAAAGGGAAGGCUGGGAUUGAGUUUGGGGGUGAUGAAUCAUAAGGGGGUUCAAAAA
Molecule: long non-coding RNA, 2474 nt
Organism: Mytilus californianus (California mussel)
Lineage: Eukaryota; Metazoa; Mollusca; Bivalvia; Mytilida; Mytilidae
Exons: 3
Source: RefSeq, a predicted model, not a curated record